This 437-nucleotide ribosomal RNA is filed under the name Streptococcus sp. oral taxon C08. RNAcentral describes it as "bacterial SSU rRNA". It matches the Rfam family "Bacterial small subunit ribosomal RNA", at positions 28 to 456 of the family's 1533-position model. Lineage: Bacteria; Bacillati; Bacillota; Bacilli; Lactobacillales; Streptococcaceae. The record is from RNAcentral.
GACGAACGCUGGCGGCGUGCCUAAUACAUGCAAGUAGAACGCUGAAGCUUGGUGCUUGCACCGAGCGGAUGAGUUGCGAACGGGUGAGUAACGCGUAGGUAACCUGCCUGGUAGCGGGGGAUAACUAUUGGAAACGAUAGCUAAUACCGCAUAAGAGUAGAUGUUGCAUGACAUUUGCUUAAAAGGUGCAAUUGCAUCACUACCAGAUGGACCUGCGUUGUAUUAGCUAGUUGGUGAGGUAACGGCUCACCAAGGCGACGAUACAUAGCCGACCUGAGAGGGUGAUCGGCCACACUGGGACUGAGACACGGCCCAGACUCCUACGGGAGGCAGCAGUAGGGAAUCUUCGGCAAUGGACGGAAGUCUGACCGAGCAACGCCGCGUGAGUGAAGAAGGUUUUCGGAUGUAAAGCUCUGUUGUAAGAGAAGAACGAGUGU